This 765-nucleotide long non-coding RNA is filed under the name Musa acuminata (dwarf banana). Its description in RNAcentral is "long non-coding RNA (MACU_LNC010466)". The record is from RNAcentral. Lineage: Eukaryota; Viridiplantae; Streptophyta; Magnoliopsida; Zingiberales; Musaceae.
UUGAAUCUCUUGGAUUCUGUCUUGUAUUGUGAUAUCUUAUUUGUUUGAAACUGUCCUUUCUCGUGCUAGAUAUGCUUUGUCAUUUGCCGAGUUGUUUUUAGCUCACUCCAUUGUUAUAUAAAUCUUUCAGGUCAGCUUUUCACUCUUUGAGAUGUUUGAAUUGGGCUGAGGUAGUGGAGAGCUAUUCAUAAUUAUAUAUGUUCUGAAAUGUCCUAUUUGCAAUUGAUAUACUCCGGAACAUCUCGUACGCUAUUGAUAUACUCCAAUUACUCUAUGCUUCAUUUGUUAUGAACCAAAUAUGUUAUGAAUGAAAUGACAUUUGUGAUUCUGUAUCUAAUGAGAUGAUAUCCUUGAAUCUCUUGGAUUCUGUCUUGCAUUGUGAUAUCUUGGUUGUUUGAAACUGUCCUUUCUCGUGCUAGAUAUGCUUUAUCACUUGCCGAGCUGUUUUUAGCUCACUCCGUUGUUAUAUAAAUCUUUCAGGUCAGCUUGUCACUCUUUGAGAUGUUUGAAUUGGGUUGAGGUAGUGGAGAGCUAUUCAGAAUUAUGGGCAAGUCUUGUUGGUUAUUAUGUUAUUGUUGUAUAAGCAUAUUUUGUAUCUAAUGAAAUGUUGUCGAUGAAUCGAAAUGGAUAUACCUUGUAAAAGUGUUAGACGAUCUCUCUUAUUUGGAAUUUCGGAAUGUUAAGUCUAAUUUAUGAUGAUAUGAACUUGUGGUGAAUAGUUAGAGUUCUGAUUGUAUAAUUUAUUUAGCUUGUGGAUUUAUAAAU